Molecule: ribosomal RNA, 1494 nt
Filed under: uncultured bacterium
Lineage: Bacteria
Description: bacterial SSU rRNA
Rfam family: Bacterial small subunit ribosomal RNA
Source: RNAcentral
AGAGUUUGAUCCUGGCUCAGGAUGAACGCUGGCGGCGUGCUUAACACAUGCAAGUCGAGCGGGAAUUAGUUAGGUGCUUGCACCUAACUAAUUUUAGCGGCUUUUAGCGGCGGACGGGUGAGUAACGCGUGGGUAACCUGCCUUAUACAGGGGGAUAACAUAUUGAAAAGUAUGCUAAUACCGCAUAAGCGCACAAUAUCGCAUGAUAUGGUGUGAAAAGCUGAGACGGUAUAAGAUGGACCCGCGUCUGAUUAGCUAGUAGGUGAGGUAAUGGCUCACCAAGGCGACGAUCAGUAGCCGACCUGAGAGGGUGAACGGCCACACUGGAACUGAGACACGGUCCAGACUCCUACGGGAGGCAGCAGUGGGGAAUAUUGCGCAAUGGGGGAAACCCUGACGCAGCAACGCCGCGUGGAGGAAGAAGGUCUUCGGAUUGUAAACUCCUGUCUUCUGGGACGAUAAUGACGGUACCAGAGGAGGAAGCCCCGGCUAACUACGUGCCAGCAGCCGCGGUAAUACGUAGGGGGCAAGCGUUAUCCGGAAUUACUGGGCGUAAAGGGUGCGUAGGCGGUAAUGUAAGUCAGGUGUGAAAGCCCGAAGCUCAACUUCGGGAUUGCACUUGAAACUACAUAACUAGAGUACAGGAGAGGUGAGUGGAAUUCCUAGUGUAGCGGUGAAAUGCGUAGAUAUUAGGAGGAACACCAGUGGCGAAGGCGACUUACUGGACUGUAACUGACGCUGAGGCACGAAAGCGUGGGGAGCAAACAGGAUUAGAUACCCUGGUAGUCCACGCUGUAAACGAUGAGAACUAGGUGUUGGGACGGUUAAUCGUCUCAUUGCCGCAGCUAACGCAUUAAGUUGUCCGCCUGGGGAGUACGGUCGCAAGAUUAAAACUCAAAGGAAUUGACGGGGACCCGCACAAGCAGCGGAGCAUGUGGUUUAAUUCGAAGCAACGCGAAGAACCUUACCAGGUCUUGACAUCCCUCUGAAUGGCGCUUAGCAGCGCAGGUCUUUCGGGACAGAGGAGACAGGUGGUGCAUGGUUGUCGUCAGCUCGUGUCGUGAGAUGUUGGGUUAAGUCCCGCAACGAGCGCAACCCUUAUCUUUAGUUGCCAGCACGUAAGCUGUGCACUCUAAUCAGACUGCCGGGGAUAACUCGGAGGAAGGUGGGGAUGACGUCAAAUCAUCAUGCCCCUUAUGAUCUGGGCUACACACGUGCUACAAUGGCCGGUACAACGGGAAGCAAGCUGGCAACAGCAAGCCAAUCCCAAAAAUAACGUCUCAGUUCGGAUUGUAGUCUGCAACUCGACUACAUGAAGCUGGAAUCGCUAGUAAUCGCGAAUCAGAAUGUCGCGGUGAAUUCGUUCCCGGGUCUUGUACACACCGCCCGUCACACCAUGGGAGUCGGAUAUGCCCGAAGUCAGUGACCCAACCGCAAGGAGGGAGCUGCCGAAGGGGGAGCCGAUAACUGGGGUGAAGUCGUAACAAGGUAACC